AACGAACGCUGGCGGCAGGCUUAACACAUGCAAGUCGAGCGCCCCGCAAGGGGAGCGGCAGACGGGUGAGUAACGCGUGGGAAUCUACCCAUCCCUACGGAACAACUCCGGGAAACUGGAGCUAAUACCGUAUACGCCCUUCGGGGGAAAGAUUUAUCGGGGAUGGAUGAGCCCGCGUUGGAUUAGCUAGUUGGUGGGGU
RNAcentral lists this ribosomal RNA (200 nucleotides) under uncultured bacterium. RNAcentral describes it as "partial 16S ribosomal RNA". It matches the Rfam family "Bacterial small subunit ribosomal RNA", at positions 29 to 258 of the family's 1533-position model. The record is from RNAcentral.